This 292-nucleotide ribosomal RNA is filed under the name uncultured bacterium. Its description in RNAcentral is "partial 16S ribosomal RNA". It matches the Rfam family "Bacterial small subunit ribosomal RNA", at positions 505 to 796 of the family's 1533-position model. The record is from RNAcentral.
GUGCCAGCCGCCGCGGUAAUACGUAGGUGGCAAGCGUUGUCCGGAAUUAUUGGGCGUAAAGCGCGCGCAGGUGGUUUCUUAAGUCUGAUGUGAAAGCCCACGGCUCAACCGUGGAGGGUCAUUGGAAACUGGGGAACUUGAGUGCAGGAGAGAAGAGUGGAAUUCCACGUGUAGCGGUGAAAUGCGUAGAGAUGUGGAGGAACACCAGUGGCGAAGGCGACUCUUUGGCCUGUAACUGACACUGAGGCGCGAAAGCGUGGGGAGCAAACAGGAUUAGAAACCCUCGUAGUCC